RNAcentral lists this ribosomal RNA (453 nucleotides) under uncultured bacterium. Its description in RNAcentral is "bacterial SSU rRNA". It matches the Rfam family "Bacterial small subunit ribosomal RNA", at positions 28 to 492 of the family's 1533-position model. The record is from RNAcentral.
GACGAACGCUGGCGGCGUGCUUAACACAUGCAAGUCGAACGAUGAAGCUGGAGCUUGCUCCGGUGGAUUAGUGGCGAACGGGUGAGUAACACGUGAGCAAUCUGCCCUUGACUCUGGGAUAACUGCGGGAAACUGUAGCUAAUACCGGAUAUUUUCCCUGGUGGGCAUCCACUGGGGAAGAAAGAAUUUCGGUCAAGGAUGAGCUCGCGGCCUAUCAGCUAGUUGGUGAGGUAAUGGCUCACCAAGGCGACGACGGGUAGCCGGCCUGAGAGGGUGACCGGCCACACCGGAACUGAGACACGGUCCAGACUCCUACGGGAGGCAGCAGUGGGGAAUAUUGCACAAUGGACGAAAGUCUGAUGCAGCAACGCCGCGUGAGGGAUGAAGGCCUGGUUGUAACCUACUUUUAGUCAGGGAAGAAGCGAAAGUAGACGGUAACCUGCAGAAAAGACA